Molecule: non-coding RNA, 359 nt
Organism: Pelobates cultripes (western spadefoot toad)
Lineage: Eukaryota; Metazoa; Chordata; Amphibia; Anura; Pelobatidae
Source: the annotation of a GenBank genome assembly
CUUUAAAACCACACAUUAAAACCCUUAACCCCUUAAGGACACAUGACAUGUCUGACAUGUCAUGAUUCCCUUUUAUUCCAGAAGUUUGGUCCUUAAGGGGUUAAAGACAUGGUAGCCAUUGCCAAUCCCACAUUUGAAGACACUAUGGCUGUGGAGACCGGGUUUUCAGAUACUAAUCUAUAGCUUGAAUGGAUGAGGUAUAAUGCUAAUUCACACAACAAAACUAAUUGUUAUGUUUGUGGUGGGGCCAGACCCCAUCUGGGUACAGUGCCUUUAAAUCUACCUGAAGAUGUUGAGAUGUGUUUCUUAAGCCUCUAUGCACAGUCAGCAGUGAAUUCAUCAGUGUGUGAAUCCACCUG